This 86-nucleotide transfer RNA is filed under the name Marinobacterium lacunae. It matches the Rfam family "tRNA". Rfam says of the family: Transfer RNA (tRNA) molecules are approximately 80 nucleotides in length. Their secondary structure includes four short double-helical elements and three loops (D, anti-codon, and T loops). Further hydrogen bonds mediate the characteristic L-shaped molecular structure. tRNAs have two regions of fundamental functional importance: the anti-codon, which is responsible for specific mRNA codon recognition, and the 3' end, to which the tRNAs corresponding amino acid is attached (by aminoacyl-tRNA synthetases). tRNAs cope with the degeneracy of the genetic code in two manners: having more than one tRNA (with a specific anti-codon) for a particular amino acid; and 'wobble' base-pairing, i.e. permitting non-standard base-pairing at the 3rd anti-codon position. The record is from RNAcentral. Lineage: Bacteria; Pseudomonadati; Pseudomonadota; Gammaproteobacteria; Oceanospirillales; Oceanospirillaceae. RNAcentral also lists the same sequence under 3 other names.
GCCCCGGUGGUGAAAUUGGUAGACACAAGGGAUUUAAAAUCCCUCGGCCUUCGGCUGUACCGGUUCGACUCCGGUCCGGGGCACCA